AGCUUAGCAAUGGAUUGUGUGUGGGAGUUAAGGAUCUGAGUGUUGACUUCUAAUCAUUCUAGUACUUUCAGAACUUUUUCCUCAAAAGCUGAGCUGUGACCAGUAGUAGACGGUUGAGGAGCAUUUUGUAAUUGAUGAUAUGGUCCAUGCCUAUAUGUUGGGUCUUGAUAUUGAGGUCGAGGUGCGGUAGGGUCAACCAUUGGUUGUGGUCUCCAAGAAAAAAUUUGGAUGGUUU
RNAcentral lists this long non-coding RNA (235 nucleotides) under Elaeis guineensis (African oil palm). RNAcentral's name for it is "long non-coding RNA (EGUI_LNC081758)". Lineage: Eukaryota; Viridiplantae; Streptophyta; Magnoliopsida; Arecales; Arecaceae. The record is from RNAcentral.